CUCAGCUCCAGGUAUGCAGCCAGAUCGGAGGCAGACAAGGGAAACAGUAAAAAAAAAAUUCUGUUUCCAAGAAAUGAAAAUGAAACAUAAAGACCAUGUAUUCAGCUGUUGCGUCUGCUGCAUUUUGCCACAUUCCUAAUUGUUUACGUGUCAAGGCCGCGUUGGAACCCAUGUGACAGGACGUGUGUGUUUCUAACUGGUUCAAAGCCAAAAAGGAGAAGGAACAGACAGGAAAAACAAUGACUUAAAUAACAUCUGAGAUUUCCAAAUAUGGAGAAGCUUUGUAGUAUUUUUUCUGUGCGCUGCUAAAGCAUCUUGUUUUGUCAUGCAUAUCUUCCUCCAGACAUAAACAAUUUCCAGAAGCAAUAAUGGAUGCACAAAUGCAGUGUCGCUGUGUUUUGAUGUACGUGUUUGCCUGAAUAGAACAUUGUCAAACAAAAUAAAAAUGAACCAGCUGAAAGAAAAAGGCUAAAAAUAAAAAGUA
Molecule: long non-coding RNA, 484 nt
Organism: Hyla sarda
Lineage: Eukaryota; Metazoa; Chordata; Amphibia; Anura; Hylidae
Exons: 3
Source: RefSeq, a predicted model, not a curated record